RNAcentral lists this ribosomal RNA (492 nucleotides) under uncultured bacterium. RNAcentral's name for it is "partial 16S ribosomal RNA". It matches the Rfam family "Bacterial small subunit ribosomal RNA", at positions 30 to 507 of the family's 1533-position model. The record is from RNAcentral.
AUUGAACGCUGGCGGCAUGCUUUACACAUGCAAGUCGAACGGUAACAGGCCUUCGGGUGCUGACGAGUGGCGAACGGGUGAGUAAUGCAUCGGAACGUACCCAGAGGUGGGGGAUAACGCAGCGAAAGCUGUGCUAAUACCGCAUGUGAUCUGAGGAUGAAAGCGGGGGACCGAGCAGCAAUGUUUGGCCUCGCGCCUUUGGAGCGGCCGAUGUCGGAUUAGCUAGUUGGUGGGGUAAAGGCCUACCAAGGCGACGAUCCGUAGCUGGUCUGAGAGGUCGACCAGCCACACUGGGACUGAGACACGGCCCAGACUCCUACGGGAGGCAGCAGUGGGGAAUUUUGGACAAUGGGCGCAAGCCUGAUCCAGCAAUGCCGCGUGCGGGAAGAAGGCCUUCGGGUUGUAAACCGCUUUUGGCAGGAACGAAACGGUGUCCGCUAAUACCGGGCGCUAAUGACGGUACCUGCAGAAUAAGCACCGGCUAACUACGUG